CCCCAAUUCAUCAAAAUCCAACAAAUUGGAUGCGUUUUUGGUCAAGAUUUGAAUGCAUGUGAUCAAUUUAUCAACCAUCUAAGAGUUUCCAACCUAGGGAAUCAAAGAUGAAGGAGGAAGCUCCGGUUCGCAACAAAAAUCUCAAGAACGAGGUAAAACUCAAGCUUAGGUGUUAUUGCCUCGCUCGGACCGAACACACUAUGAACGCCUUUUAUGCGCUUCCGCAACUUUUGAAGUAUCAUCAAUGGGUCAAAUACUUUUGUAAAAUAGGUCAUGUUUGGUAGUUAAAAACUCUAAACUUGAUGUUUUAAAUCUUUUGUCAAAAUUCUAGUUGUAGUGGAUGU
Helianthus annuus (common sunflower) is the source of this 344-nucleotide long non-coding RNA. RefSeq lists it as uncharacterized. The transcript is spliced from 3 exons. Lineage: Eukaryota; Viridiplantae; Streptophyta; Magnoliopsida; Asterales; Asteraceae. The record is from RefSeq and is a predicted model, not a curated record.